This 1473-nucleotide ribosomal RNA is filed under the name Sarcosoma globosum. RNAcentral's name for it is "eukaryotic LSU rRNA". The stretch from base 553 to 1473 matches the Rfam family "Eukaryotic large subunit ribosomal RNA", at positions 1 to 937 of the family's 3401-position model. Lineage: Eukaryota; Fungi; Ascomycota; Pezizomycetes; Pezizales; Sarcosomataceae. The record is from RNAcentral.
UGAACCUGCGGAAGGAUCAUUAAUAAUUAUGAAGGCAACUGCUCACACGUUGUAAAAGACAUGGAGUGCAGUUGCUCUAUCAAUUAUAUCCCACCUCUGUGUAUCGAUCUUGUCGUUGCUUCCGUGGACGGAGCUUGCUUCACAUUGCUGUCUCGAACAGUGUUCACGGAAGGUACUUAUCAACUCCGAUUAUUGUUUUUUACUGUCUGAGUGGUGACCACAUAAAACAAGUUAAAACUUUCAACAACGGAUCUCUUGGUUCUCGCAUCGAUGAAGAACGCAGCGAAAUGCGAUAAGUAGUGUGAAUUGCAGAAUUCAGUGAAUCAUCGAAUCUUUGAACGCACAUUGCGCCUUCUGGUAUUCCGGGAGGCAUGCCUGUUCGAGCGUCAUCAAACACGUCCUCAAGCAUCUUUGCUUGGUCUUGGAGGAAGAUGGCUUUGCCAUCUCUUCUGGAAUCAAUCAGCAGAAAAUCUAGAAUUCACAAGUGUGAUAAAUUUUGUUCACUUAUGGGUUGUAAGAACAGUCUUGCUGUAAACCUCCACUCUUUAAGUUUGACCUCGGAUCAGGUAGGGAUACCCGCUGAACUUAAGCAUAUCAAUAAGCGGAGGAAAAGAAACCAACAGGGAUUGCCUUAGUAACUGCGAGUGAAGCGGCAAAAGCUCAAAUUUGAAAUCUGGUACCUUUGGGUGCCCGAGUUGUAAUUUGGAGAGGCAACUUCGGAGGCGGCGUUGGCCCAAGUUCCUUGGAACAGGGCGUCAUAGAGGGUGAGAAUCCCGUGCUUGGCUGACUGUCCUCCUCCAUGUGAAGUGUCUUCGACGAGUCGAGUUGUUUGGGAAUGCAGCUCAAAAUGGGUGGUAAACUCCAUCUAAGGCUAAAUAUUGGCGAGAGACCGAUAGCGCACAAGUAGAGUGAUCGAAAGAUGAAAAGCACUUUGAAAAGAGAGUUAAAAAGUACGUGAAAUUGUUGAAAGGGAAGCGCUUGAGACCAGACUCGGUCAUUGGUGAUCAGCAGUUGCUUUUGCGCUGUGCACUUGCCUUUUACUGGGCCAGCAUCAGUUGUGAUGGUGGGAUAAAGACUUAGGGAAUGUGGCUCCUUUCGAGGAGUGUUAUAGCCCUGGGUGUAAUGCCGCCUAUCACGACUGAGGACCGCGCUUCGGCUAGGAUGCUGGCAUAAUGGUCUUCAGCGACCCGUCUUGAAACACGGACCAAGGAGUCUAACAUCUAUGCGAGUGUUCGGGUGUAAAACCCCUACGCGUAAUGAAAGUGAACGGAGGUGGGAACCCGUCAGGGUGCACCAUCGACCGAUCCUGAUGUCUUCGGAUGGAUUUGAGUAGGAGCAUAGCUGUUGGGACCCGAAAGAUGGUGAACUAUGCCUGAAUAGGGUGAAGCCAGAGGAAACUCUGGUGGAGGCUCGCAGCGGUUCUGACGUGCAAAUCGAUCGUCAAAUUUGGGUAUAGGGGCGAAAGACUAAUCG